This 91-nucleotide transfer RNA is filed under the name Escherichia coli. Its description in RNAcentral is "tRNA-Ser". It matches the Rfam family "tRNA". From Rfam's summary of the family: Transfer RNA (tRNA) molecules are approximately 80 nucleotides in length. The record is from RNAcentral. Lineage: Bacteria; Pseudomonadati; Pseudomonadota; Gammaproteobacteria; Enterobacterales; Enterobacteriaceae. RNAcentral also lists the same sequence under 13 other names.
GGAGAGUUGGCUGAGUGGUCUAAGGCGCACGACUGGAAAUCGUGUGUGGGCUUAUACCCCACCUAGGGUUCAAAUCCCUAACUCUCCGCCA